Homo sapiens (human) is the source of this 1215-nucleotide long non-coding RNA. RefSeq annotates it as long independently transcribed non-coding RNA 1115. Lineage: Eukaryota; Metazoa; Chordata; Mammalia; Primates; Hominidae. The record is from RefSeq and is marked validated.
AUCAGAAACCCACUCCUGCGAUGAAGGAUGAAUCUUCCUGAGGGCAGAGCUCUUACCGCCCACUCGCCCCUCUAAGUUCCCACCUCCCAAGGCCGUGUCUCUGGGGAUGAAGUUUCCAACACACAAACAUUGGGGGCACCUUCAAGCCACGGUGUCCUGUAAACCAGCGUUCCAGCAUUUGCCAAAUGGUGUUUCUUUUACCAGGAGAUAAGGACUCUGAUCAGGUCCUUUGGAAAGAGCAAGGGAAGCUGUUCAUGUUCUAUCCUGCGUGUUCUCGAGAAAGUUUUGAUGACAGAAAACAUCACACAGAAAGGGGAAGGCAUCGCAAGUUUCCAGCUCCAUGGAUUUUUGCAAACUGAGCACAUUUGUGGGCCAGGAGUGGGGCCCACAGCGAGAAUAUCCUUCCUGCUGCUCCUGCCAUCCAUCCACCAGCACAGCCAGUUCCCAGCUGUGGAACACACAGAGCUGUGCACUGUUGAGUUGAUCACGAUGAGAACAGUGAGUGUCUCUCACCUGUGGCUGCACUUGCUGGAAGCACCGCCUGCUCUGGCCUCUUUGCUCCAGAACAUUCCCUGCUGAACAGUGACACCAGGGAAGGCCAAGGAUGGGCACACAAGGCUCAGUCCUUCACCUGAUGGCGGCUUGGCCAUGUUCAUCUUUCCCUUUUCUCAAAGACCUGUGUGGGGCCAGAGAAAGCUGGGGUUUCCGGUGGCCUGCAGUGUGGCAGAAAGCAGAGCCUUCCACUGGGAAAAGGGGAAAAAGGGAAUUCUUCCGAAGAGAAGGAUGAAGCCAGCAGCAGGGGUCCCGGCAGGCCUGACCCCCAUGGAGCUGAUGAGGCCGAGUGUCAGGAAGCACUCCCAUUGUCCUCGAAAACAGACACAGGUCAACCUGCGUUACGGGGUCUGCGAGGUCAUCAGAUAACCCCACAGUGUCGAAUACUGUAACUACAUGCCUGCCUAAGAUGACCUGGUAUACUGUAGGUGCACACAAGAUUCUCCAUAGUGAAAGUACAUAUACAAUUGUUGCUAAUUUUUGAUCCUAGAAAAUCCACUGGAUUGAUACUUUAGAAGAGGAUAAUGGAUAAAAUCAAUCGAUCGGAAAAUUCAAAUAUUUAGAAAAUACUAGUUUCAAUCUACUGUAAAAAUAUCAUAAAUUUGUACUGAACUAUUUUUCCUUAUUACAAAAAUAUUCGAGCAAUAAAAAUGUCGGAUAUUA